AACGAACGCUGGCGGCGUGCCUAAUACAUGCAAGUAGAACGCAGUUGGGAACGGGUGAGUAACGCAUAGGUCACUGCAUGGUAGCGGGGGCUAAAUAUUGGAACCGAUAGCUCAUACCGCAUACUACCAGGUUGAGCUGCGUUGUAUUAGAUAGUUGGUGGGGUAACGGCCCACCAAGGCAACGAUACAUAGCCGCCCUUAGAGGGUGAGCGGCCAAACUGGGACCUGGACACGGGCCAGACUCCGUCGGGAGGGAGCAGUAGGGAAUCUUCGGCAAUUGGGGGAACCCUUACCGAGCAACGCCGCGUGAGUUAAGAAGGUCUUCGGAGCUGAAAGCUCUGUUGUUAAGGAAGCGGUACUUAACGAGAAAGGGACGGCUAACUACGUGCCAGCAGCCGCGGUAAUUC
This 407-nucleotide ribosomal RNA is filed under the name uncultured bacterium. RNAcentral's name for it is "partial 16S ribosomal RNA". It matches the Rfam family "Bacterial small subunit ribosomal RNA", at positions 29 to 526 of the family's 1533-position model. The record is from RNAcentral.